ACACCAGGGGAGAGAGGUCAAUACAUGCACAGGGACACCAGGGAGAGAGGUCAAUACAUACACAGGGACACCAGGGAGAGAGGUCAAUACAUGCACAGGGACACCAGGGGAGAGAGGUCAAUACAUGCACAGGGACACCAGGGGAGAAAGGUCAAUACAUACACAGGUAUAAAGGUCAGUACAUACACAUCUCUCUCUCUCACAUAUACACAGGUAUGGAUGAACAAAUCACACACUCGGAAUUAACAUUUGUUGUGAGUUCGAAUCCCCAGUCUACCCUCUGCCGUUGUGCCUUUGAGCAAGGACGGCUCCAUGGGCGCUGCUCUGCGGCUUUGACGGUGUUGCCUCUAGUCUCUUGUAUGUG
Molecule: long non-coding RNA, 364 nt
Organism: Oncorhynchus keta (chum salmon)
Lineage: Eukaryota; Metazoa; Chordata; Actinopteri; Salmoniformes; Salmonidae
Exons: 3
Source: RefSeq, a predicted model, not a curated record